RNAcentral lists this ribosomal RNA (442 nucleotides) under uncultured bacterium. RNAcentral describes it as "partial 16S ribosomal RNA". It matches the Rfam family "Bacterial small subunit ribosomal RNA", at positions 338 to 795 of the family's 1533-position model. The record is from RNAcentral.
CCUACGGGGGGCAGCAGUAGGGAAUCUUUCACAAUGAGCGAAAGCCUGAUGGAGCAACGCCGCGUGCAGGAUGAAGGCCUUCGGGUUGUAAACUGCUUUUAUAAGCGAGAAAUAUGAUGGUAACUUAUGAAUAAGGAUCGGCUAACUACGUGCCAGCAGCCGCGGUCAUACGUAGGAUCCGAGCAUUAUCCGGUGUGACUGGGUGUAAAGAGUUGCGUAGGUGGCAUAAUAAGUAGCUAGUGAAAUCUGGUGGCUCAACCAUUCAGACUAUUAGCUAAACUGUUAAGCUCGAGACCGUUAGGGGUAAGUGGAAUUUCAAGUGUAGGAGUGAAAUGCGUAGAUAUUAGAAAGAACACCGAUAGCGUAGGCAGGUUACUGGGACGGUUCUGACACUAAGGGACGAAAGCGUAGGGAGCAAACGGGAUUAGAUACCCGGGUAGUC